Molecule: ribosomal RNA, 609 nt
Filed under: Podocoryna pruvoti
Lineage: Eukaryota; Metazoa; Cnidaria; Hydrozoa; Anthoathecata; Hydractiniidae
Description: partial 16S ribosomal RNA
Rfam family: Bacterial large subunit ribosomal RNA
Source: RNAcentral
CAUAGCCCUUGUAAAAAUCAAAGGUGUAACCUGCCCAAUGGUUAUUAAGUAAAUAAAAAUAAAAUUUUAUAAUAAAACUUAAAGGACGCAGUAACCUGACUGUGAUAAUGUAGCAUAAUCAUUCGCCAUUUAAUUGAUGGAUAGUAUGAAUGGUUAAACGAAUUCUUCACUGUCUUAAAAAAAGAAAUCAUGAAAUUAAAAUAAUAGUCAAGAUGCUAUUUACUAUUGUAAGACGAAAAGACCCUAUAGAGCUUAACUAUAAACUCCUUAAACAUAUAGAAUUAAAAAAGUUCCUAAAUUAGGGAGUUAGGUAGUUUAGUUGGGGCGACUAUCUUCUAAAAACAACGAAGACAAGCAAUAUUAAUAAUUAAUUUAUUGUAUAAUAAAUAUAUUUAACAAUUACAAAAGUAGGCUAUAAUGACCCGUUAUAAUCUUAUAAUUGAUUUAACGAUUAAUAAAUAAAAGCUACCUUAGGGAUAACAGGAUAAUUUUGUUUUAGAGAUCCUAUCGAAAACAAAGUUUGUCACCUCUAUGUUGAAUUAAGAUAUCCUGAUAGUGCAGAAGCUAUCAAAGGUAGGUCUGUUCGACCUUUAAAAUCUUACAUGAUUU